GAUGAACGCUGGCGGCGUGCCUAAUACAUGCAAGUCGAGCGAACAGAUGAGGAGCUUGCUCCUCUGACGUUAGCGGCGGACGGGUGAGUAACACGUGGAUAACCUACCUAUAAGACUGGGAUAACUUCGGGAAACCGGAGCUAAUACCGGAUAAUAUAUUGAACCGCAUGGUUCAAUAGUGAAAGACGGUUUUGCUGUCACUUAUAGAUGGAUCCGCGCCGCAUUAGCUAGUUGGUAAGGUAACGGCUUACCAAGGCAACGAUGCGUAGCCGACCUGAGAGGGGGGCGGGCCAACCGGGAACUGAGACCCGGUCCAGACUCCACGGGGAGGCAGCAGAAGGGAAUCUUCGGAAAUGGGCGAAAGCCUAACGGAGCAACGCCGCGUGAGUGAUGAAGGUCUUCGGAUCUUAAAACUCUGUUAUUAGGGAAAAACAAAUGUGUAAGUAAAUGUGCACGUCGUGACGGUACCUAAUCAGAAAGCCACGGCUAACUACGUG
Molecule: ribosomal RNA, 497 nt
Filed under: uncultured bacterium
Lineage: Bacteria
Description: partial 16S ribosomal RNA
Rfam family: Bacterial small subunit ribosomal RNA
Source: RNAcentral